This is a long non-coding RNA of Mus musculus (house mouse), 2513 nucleotides long. RefSeq annotates it as RIKEN cDNA 9430085M18 gene. The record is from RefSeq and is marked validated. NCBI's taxonomy places the organism in Eukaryota, Metazoa, Chordata, Mammalia, Rodentia, Muridae. The transcript is spliced from 3 exons.
AGCAGUGGCGGUGGCGUGGAAGCCAUGACCGCCACUAAACACUGCACCUGAACUGGCUGAGGUGGUAGCUGUUAAAGUCUGAAAGAAAAUAUAACUGUAAGCAGGUCACAGAAAUACAGGGCGAACAAAUAGUAAAGCGACAGGAUAAAGCGGAGGUGUGAGUCCAUCUGUCGUCACCGCAACAAAAUACCCGAGGAAAUGUGGAAAACCUUGUGCUGUCUCCUGCUUCAGAGGCACCAGCCCUAGGUCACGCUCAGCCUGGGCCUGUGGUGAGAUCCACCUCACAGCAGAAGUUUGUGUUGCUCUCUCACACUAACGGUUUGAGAAUUUGAUCCCUUCUGCUACCUAGAAGCUGGUUGCCCCUGAGGUCCCUCCUUCCUCUAGCAUACCACUCCUCAGAAUGUCCAGAGAUGACGCUGCAAGGACCCGUCUGUGACGAACUAGGGCACUGAGGAGAGCGUUCUCCAGGUUCCUUCCUCUUCCUGCGUUGCCAUUGUUACCGUGUGACAUUCCAGGGUAGGAGAGGACACCGAGAGUCAGGAGAGACAACAGCACACUCCGCCCAUUUCAAUAAAGAGAAAAGCAAUCUCGAGAAAGCAAACGACCCCUGCCAACCCUCGGUUGGAAUCUCAGGACUCUGACUGCGUAUGCUCUACCCAGUGGAAACGUUCGCCACAUGGGCUGGGGAGAUGACUGGCUUGGGUGAAGCACUUGCUACACAGCCCAAGGACCUGAAAUCAGAACCCCAGAACCCUUAGAAAGACUGGCGUGGCUCCCAGCACCCUACAGGAAAGUGGGAAGCAGCGACAAGAACAUUUCUUGGCAAACUGGGAAGGAGGAGGAGUCCCCAACUGGAACAAGCAUAUCACCACUGAUAUCACCACCACCGUCAUCAUCACCACCACCAUCAUCAUCAUCGCCACCACCGUCUUCAUCACCGGCCAUGCUCCCAUCUGUAACUCUGUCCUACUGCUACUUUAUGUACCUAUCACUACAUCAGCCUCAGCUCUCAUUAGUGAGAGAGGUGCUAAGUCACAGAGUUGUUCCGAGUCCUUGCAUGGCUGAGGUCUCAUUCUAGGCAAUGAGACAAUGAAGAAUAGACACACACACACAUUUGUCAAUGGACAGAAAGGCUGAGAUUUUGUGGACUAAGGGUUCCAAUGGGAAAGCAGAAGGACCCAAGAAGCACAGCGUGUUUGUUACGUACAAGGAGGAGGGGCUGUGAUAUGCAUACAGAUUAUCAAGGAGUGGGGUUUAUUGUGUACAAAAAGAAGGCAAGGAUAUUGCCUACAGCUGAACAAGGUGGCAGAGUUAUUGAUUACAGAUAAGCAAGGAGGCAGCAUAAGAAUAAAAAUUUUUUUAUGGUUUUAGAGCUUUAUUGUAGAAAGGCAGAGAGAAAAAGAGAAGGUAGAAAGAGAGAGGCUGGCCAUGGCCACGUGGAGAGAGGGGGAAGGGAGAGAGAGAAGGAGGGCUGGACUGUUUUCAGCCUCUGAGACUUACUGCUGACUCAGCUCACCCCUUCCUCGUUCUUUCUGAGUUCUGGCUGUCUGGUUCAAUCUGCUCUCUCUCUCUCUCUCUCUCUCUCUCUCUCUCUCUCUCUCUCUCUCUCUCUCUCUUUCUCUCUCUCUCUCUCUCUCUCUCUCUCUCUCUCUCUCUCUCUCUCUCUCUCUCUCGGCUGGUCUCUGAGUUGCCCUGCUUGGCCUCAUACUAACUCUGGCAAUCUGUUCUCAUCUUCUGGCUCCUCGUCCUGUGCCUCCUUCUGUCUUUAACCUGUCUCCCCAUAAAACUGCCUCCUCCUGUCUCUCUGCACCAUUCUUUCUUCCAUAGCUUCCCUUCCCUCUCUCCUCUCCUGAGAGCUGGGCAAAUCCUAUUCUGCCAGAUCUUCCUGAGCUGUCACUUUGUCUGCCACCCAAUAAGACAUCACUUUUAAACAUGGCUGCUCCUUCUACAAAUUAACUUUGCCUUCAUCGUUUGGAGUUAAAGGUGUGUACAAAGGGUGUAUCUGUACACAGCCUGAGGGAUCAAAGGUGUGUGCUAAGGCUAAGCCACACCACAACUAAAAACAGGGGUUUUCAAUAAGUGACACAAUCUUGGGGUUCUCGGUGUAAUCAAAUAUCCUGCAGCAAGGUGGGGUUAUUAUAUCCAGAUAUCAAGGAGGUGGGUUAUUAUAUAUAGCUGAACAAGGAGGGGGGUGCUUACGGCUGAGCAAGGCAGCAGGGGUUCGAUAAUCUCUGUAGGCAUCGUUUCUAUAAGAGAGCAGCUUUCAGGCCUAAUCAUCCAGGAGGAGAAAGCUACAGCAGAAAUUUUGUGCACGCUCUGUCAACAAGUCCAGAGGGAGGCUUUGCCAUCGCUCUCUGCCGCACUGAGGGAAGGCUAUGUGUGAGGGCCGGGGGACCUUGACAAGCAACACACAUUCACUCUGGACUUUACCCUCGAAGAACUCAACUCUCUAAAACAAAAACUGGUGUGUGCACCUCUUAACAUUGAAAUAAAGUUCUCAUACCAACUUUAAA